CCUGAGAAACCCAAAAGAUCGAAUGGGGAGAUUCAUCGUCAGCUCAUUUUGUAUAUGUAUAAGUUAUGAUGCGGGUUACUACUUGUAGUAUUGCCUGCACAUUCUUGUAUAUUUAGUUGCAAGAUGUUGUCGGCGUGCACUUCUCCCCUAGUAGGACUGCGCGACCCGUUGGGUGUCGGUCUACGGCCCAAGAUAGACUUUAAUGUAAUUUAAAAAACAUUAAAGAUCCUUUGGUGUUUUCUGACCGACUACUUGGCGGUACUUCGCACGGUAUGUCCAUACCCGUCGCAAGCGAGGCUAAUUUCUAGAUAGUACGGACCUAGUGCCGUCGCUGGUAUUGGCCAGCUGUUGGUUGACGGUGUUCUAGGACUGGCUGUAUUACCGGUCGGCGAUGCUACUGCUUUGGGUACUUUCAGGACCCGUCUUGAAACACGGA
This 436-nucleotide ribosomal RNA is filed under the name Aleiodes varius. RNAcentral describes it as "LSU rRNA". The record is from RNAcentral. Lineage: Eukaryota; Metazoa; Arthropoda; Insecta; Hymenoptera; Braconidae.